This 118-nucleotide ribosomal RNA is filed under the name Pteropus alecto (black flying fox). Lineage: Eukaryota; Metazoa; Chordata; Mammalia; Chiroptera; Pteropodidae. The record is from RNAcentral.
GUCUAUGGCCAUGUCACCCUGAAUACUUCCGAUCUUGUCUUAUCUCGGAAGCUAAGCAGGGUCAACCUGGUUAGUACUUGGAUGGGAGACCACCUAGGAAGACCGGGUGCUAUAGGCG